ACAGUUAAUUAUCGUCGUGAUUAUUCAACAAUAAAGUUGGAAAUAUAUUGCAUUUGGAUUUAUACACACUUUACUUUACCAGUUUACCUAAUCCAAUUAUUUAUUAUGUCGUGAAUUCUUCUUGUUUGUCGUUCAAGGUAGAGUUUUUCACCCGUGACCAAAUAAUAUAAAAAAAAAGGAACCAACUCCUUUUUCUAUAAAUAUAUAUAUAAAAGAAAAAGUUAGUGUCGAUGUUUGUCAG
Molecule: long non-coding RNA, 241 nt
Filed under: Solanum tuberosum (potato)
Lineage: Eukaryota; Viridiplantae; Streptophyta; Magnoliopsida; Solanales; Solanaceae
Description: long non-coding RNA (STUB_LNC005087)
Source: RNAcentral